CAAGACGUAGCUAUAAACCCAAAAGCAUUCAGCUUACACCUGAAAGAUGCUUCCACAAUACGAAGCCGCCUUGA
RNAcentral lists this transfer RNA (74 nucleotides) under Rhizothera longirostris. RNAcentral's name for it is "tRNA-Val". Lineage: Eukaryota; Metazoa; Chordata; Aves; Galliformes; Phasianidae. The record is from RNAcentral.